Molecule: ribosomal RNA, 724 nt
Filed under: gamma proteobacterium IMCC14332
Lineage: Bacteria; Pseudomonadati; Pseudomonadota; Gammaproteobacteria
Description: bacterial SSU rRNA
Rfam family: Bacterial small subunit ribosomal RNA
Source: RNAcentral
AUUGAACGCUGGCGGCAGGCCUAACACAUGCAAGUUCGAGCGCGAAAGCACUUCGGUGUGAGUAGAGCGGCGGACGGGUGAGUAACGCGUAGGAAUCUACCUAGUAGUGGGGGACAACUCGGGGAAACUCGAGCUAAUACCGCAUAAGCCCUACGGGGGAAAGCGGGGGACCUUCGGGCCUCGUGCUAUUAGAUGAGCCUGCGUUGGAUUAGCUAGUUGGUGGGGUAAAGGCCUACCAAGGCGACGAUCCAUAGCUGGUCUGAGAGGAUGAUCAGCCACACCGGGACUGAGACACGGCCCGGACUCCUACGGGAGGCAGCAGUGGGGAAUAUUGCGCAAUGGGCGAAAGCCUGACGCAGCCAUGCCGCGUGUGUGAAGAAGGCCUUCGGGUUGUAAAGCACUUUCAAUUGGGAGGAAAGGUUCACGGUUAAUAACCGUGAGCUGUGACGUUACCUUUAGAAGAAGCACCGGCUAACUCCGUGCCAGCAGCCGCGGUAAUACGGAGGGUGCGAGCGUUAAUCGGAAUUACUGGGCGUAAAGCGCGCGUAGGUGGUCUGUUAAGUCGGAUGUGAAAGCCCCGGGCUCAACCUGGGAACUGCAUUCGAUACUGGCAGACUAGAGUGCGAGAGAGGGAGGUAGAAUUCCAUGUGUAGCGGUGAAAUGCGUAGAUAUGUGGAGGAAUACCAGUGGCGAAGGCGGCCUCCUGGCUCGACACUGACACUGA